This 1000-nucleotide ribosomal RNA is filed under the name Curvularia lunata. RNAcentral's name for it is "SSU rRNA". It matches the Rfam family "Eukaryotic small subunit ribosomal RNA", at positions 52 to 1063 of the family's 1831-position model. Lineage: Eukaryota; Fungi; Ascomycota; Dothideomycetes; Pleosporales; Pleosporaceae. The record is from RNAcentral.
UGCGGAUAUAUGUGCAGCAUUAUACCGUGAACUGCGAAUGGCUCAUUAAAUCAUUUAUCGUUUAUUUGAUAAUACCUUACUACUUGGAUAACCGUGGUAAUUCUAGAGCUAAUACAUGCUGAAAAUCCCGACUUCGGACAGGAUGUGUUUAUUAGAUAAAAAACCAAUGCCCUUCGGGGCUCUUUGGUGAUUCAUGAUAACUUUACGGAUCGCAUAGCCUUGCGCUGGCGACGGUUCAUUCAAAUUUCUGCCCUAUCAACUUUCGAUGGUAAGGUAUUGGCUUACCAUGGUUUCAACGGGUAACGGGGAAUUAGGGUUCGAUUCCGGAGAGGGAGCCUGAGAAACGGCUACCACAUCCAAGGAAGGCAGCAGGCGCGCAAAUUACCCAAUCCCGACACGGGGAGGUAGUGACAAUAAAUACUGAUACAGGGCUCUUUUGGGUCUUGUAAUUGGAAUGAGUACAAUUUAAACCUCUUAACGAGGAACAAUUGGAGGGCAAGUCUGGUGCCAGCAGCCGCGGUAAUUCCAGCUCCAAUAGCGUAUAUUAAAGUUGUUGCAGUUAAAAAGCUCGUAGUUGAAACUUGGGCCUGGCUGGCGGGUCCGCCUCACCGCGUGCACUCGUCCGGCCGGGCCUUCCUUCUGAAGAACCUCAUGCCCUUCACUGGGCGUGUUGGGGAAUCAGGACUUUUACUUUGAAAAAAUUAGAGUGUUCAAAGCAGGCCUUUGCUCGAAUACGUUAGCAUGGAAUAAUAAAAUAGGGCGUGCGUUUCUAUUUUGUUGGUUUCUAGAGACGCCGCAAUGAUUAACAGGAACAGUCGGGGGCAUCAGUAUUCAGUUGUCAGAGGUGAAAUUCUUGGAUUUACUGAAGACUAACUACUGCGAAAGCAUUUGCCCAAGGAUGUUUUCAUUAAUCAGUGAACGAAAGUUAGGGGAUCGAAGACGAUCAGAUACCGUCGUAGUCUUAACCGUAAACUAUGCCCGACUAGGGAUCGGGGCGAUG